This 420-nucleotide ribosomal RNA is filed under the name uncultured bacterium. RNAcentral's name for it is "bacterial SSU rRNA". It matches the Rfam family "Bacterial small subunit ribosomal RNA", at positions 356 to 773 of the family's 1533-position model. The record is from RNAcentral.
AAGGAAUAUUGGACAAUGGCCGCAAGGCUGAUCCAGCCAUGCCGCGUGCAGGAUGACGGUGCUCUGCAUUGUAAACUGCUUUUGUUCGGGAAUAAACCCUUUCACGUGUGAAAGGUUGAAUGUACCGAAAGAAUAAGGGACGGCUAACUUCGUGCCAGCAGCCGCGGUAAUACGAAGGUCCCAAGCGUUAUCCGGAUUUAUUGGGUUUAAAGGGUACGUAGGCGGGCUAUUAAGUCAGUGGUGAAAGCUCUCAGCUUAACUGGGAAACUGCCAUUGAUACUGAUAGUCUUGAGUAUGAUUGAAGUGGGCGGAAUGUGUCAUGUAGCGGUGAAAUGCUUAGAUAUGACACAGAACACCGAUUGCGAAGGCAGCUCACUAAGCCAUAACUGACGCUGAUGCACGAAAGCGUGGGGAGCAAAC